UAUAGGGACACAUGUUUGGGACACUUUUGAGUAAGUGUCCCAUUUAUGCUAAAACUUAAAAACACAUCUACUAAUGCCUAAAUAUAAAGCCCAAUCCAACCAAAAAUAAAAGAUUACUUUACUCAACCCACCACACCCAAUCCAUUUGGCCCGAUUACAAACAGAAAAGAAAAAAAAAGAAAAAUCAAUUGCCAUCUUUUCUUCUCUCAUCACUCAAUCCACUGAAAUUCUAGACGAAGAGCCUUUCCUGUCGUCCUCCUUCGCCACCGCAGCCAACGAGAUAGAGUUUCGGCGGUUGCUAAAUGCUUAAAUAAGUGUUGGUAAAUUAGCAGCACUCUUUUAGGUUAUAGCGACACUCUUUAACUGUCACUAUAUACCUAGCGACCCCACAUAUAGCAACACUUUUUAAAAGUGUCGGUAAUUUUAGCUAGCAGCACUUUUUUGAUAUGUACCUACAUUUAAAAGUGUUGCUAUAGAUCGUUUUUGUUGUAGUGUUGAUUGAAACUAACAACAACU
RNAcentral lists this long non-coding RNA (516 nucleotides) under Ananas comosus (pineapple). RNAcentral's name for it is "long non-coding RNA (ACOM_LNC003329)". The record is from RNAcentral. Lineage: Eukaryota; Viridiplantae; Streptophyta; Magnoliopsida; Poales; Bromeliaceae.